This 459-nucleotide ribosomal RNA is filed under the name uncultured bacterium. Its description in RNAcentral is "partial 16S ribosomal RNA". It matches the Rfam family "Bacterial small subunit ribosomal RNA", at positions 338 to 795 of the family's 1533-position model. The record is from RNAcentral.
CCUACGGGUGGCAGCAGUGAGGAAUAUUGGUCAAUGGGCGGGAGCCUGAACCAGCCAAGUCGCGUGAGGGAUGACGGCCCUAUGGGUUGUACACCUCUUUUGCCGGGGAGCAAAGUGCCGCCCGUGUGCGGUUUGGAGAGUACCCGGAGAAAAAGCAUCGGCUAACUCCGGGCCAGCAGCCGCGGUAAUACGGAGGAUGCGAGCGUUAUCAGGAUUUAUUGGUUUUAAAGGGUGCGUAGGCGGACGCUUAAGUCAGCGGUAACAUUGCGGGGGUCAACCUCGUCGAGCCGUUGACACUGGGGGCCUUGAGUGAGCGAGAAGUACGAGGAAUGCGUGGUGUAGCGGUGAAAUGCAUAGAUAUCACGCAGAAGUCCGAUUGCGAAGGCAGCGUACCGGCGCCCAACUGACGCUGAAGCACGAAGGCGUGGGUAUCGAACAGGAUUAGAUACCCCUGUAGUC